Molecule: long non-coding RNA, 722 nt
Filed under: Equus caballus (horse)
Lineage: Eukaryota; Metazoa; Chordata; Mammalia; Perissodactyla; Equidae
Description: lncRNA (ENSECAG00000048194.1)
Source: RNAcentral
GAGGAUCCCAACCUGCCAGGAGAUCCCUUCCCACAGGAAGGACGUAGAGGCUCCGAUGAGCACGAUCCAGCGUGAAAUGUGGGGUGUGAAGGUCAGGAGCGGAGGAAGAUGCCAAGGCGCUUGGCCUGAGAAGCUAGAAGGAUGGACUUGCACUAACUGCGAUGGGGAAGAUUGGAUGGAACAGAUCGGGAAGGAGUAGACCAGAAGUCCCAUUCCGGACACCAUCAGAUUGACAGACCCUCGGACCUCCAGGUAGACUGUGAAAACGGAAGCCCCCUGACUCGCUGACGCCCAGAGUGGUGCUGCCACCACAGGACUCAAAGGCAGAUGUCUGGAACUGGACUUAAAACUAUCUUUUGGACCGUGGGUCCAUUUUCUGCCCAGGAUAAUGCUGAUGCCUAGUUACACAAAACACUGUGUCCAACGCCAGGGGCUCAUGAAACGCUCUGUAUCCUGUCCAUGGAUCGUCCUCACGUUUUGGGAAUCUGGGACUCCAGAACUUUCCUGACUGCCCCUUCCACCCACUCUGAACUUUCUGCCCCACUCCCCACCCGACCCGUGCCUGUGGCAGUGGAGUGCAGACGAUCUUCCCUUCAAGUCUUCAGUUCAUCUCCACUGUUUCGUGCGUGUGGGCUCCUUCCUCGCACGUGAACUCAGAAGAAGGCUGAAGCUUUUCUUUGAUGGUCUACAUCUAGUGCAGAGCCUGCCUCUGCAAGUUUCAC